GACGAACGCUGGCGGCAUGCCUAAUACAUGCAAGUCGAACGCUUCUUUCCUCCCGAGUGCUUGCACUCAAUUGGAAAGAGGAGUGGCGGACGGGUGAGUAACACGUGGGUAACCUACCCAUCAGAGGGGGAUAACACUUGGAAACAGGUGCUAAUACCGCAUAACAGUUUAUGCCGCAUGGCAUAAGAGUGAAAGGCGCUUUCGGGUGUCGUUGAUGGAUGGACCCGCGGUGCAUUAGCUAGUUGGUGAGGUAACGGCUCACCAAGGCCACGAUGCAUAGCCGACCUGAGAGGGUGAUCGGCCACACUGGGACUGAGACACGGCCCAGACUCCUACGGGAGGCAGCAGUAGGGAAUCUUCGGCAAUGGACGAAAGUCUGACCGAGCAACGCCGCGUGAGUGAAGAAGGUUUUCGGAUCGUAAAACUCUGUUGUUAGAGAAGAACAAGGACGUUAGUAACUGAACGUCCCCUGACGGUAUCUAACCAGAAAGCCACGGCUAACUACGUG
Molecule: ribosomal RNA, 508 nt
Filed under: uncultured bacterium
Lineage: Bacteria
Description: partial 16S ribosomal RNA
Rfam family: Bacterial small subunit ribosomal RNA
Source: RNAcentral